Long non-coding RNA from Onychostoma macrolepis, 252 nucleotides. RefSeq lists it as uncharacterized. Lineage: Eukaryota; Metazoa; Chordata; Actinopteri; Cypriniformes; Cyprinidae. The record is from RefSeq and is a predicted model, not a curated record. The transcript is spliced from 3 exons.
GAAAAUGCAUCUUUGUGAAAGGAGGGGCAGACAGAGAACGUGACUCUCUCACUGUUUGUGCCAGAGGUCAUAUCAACAGACCAACAAUCACAAGCUCUGUAUCUUCAAAGGGGAUAUACGAUGCAACAGAAAGCAGUUUUUGCGUCAUCAACACACGCGGCAUGCACAGAAGUCUUCAGGCGGGCAUAUGCUUUCUGGCCUGAGCAUCCUUAACCCCCCAAGAGAGCUUUGAUAAAAGUCACAUUAACCCGC